Symphalangus syndactylus (siamang) is the source of this 1613-nucleotide long non-coding RNA. RefSeq lists it as uncharacterized. The record is from RefSeq and is a predicted model, not a curated record. Lineage: Eukaryota; Metazoa; Chordata; Mammalia; Primates; Hylobatidae.
UUCCGCUGGCGGACUUUGGCCCAGGCGCGUGGGCGCUGCCGAGAGGCUGGGAGCCCGGGAACCGGUUCCUGGACUUCAGCGGAGCGGGAAAGAGCGCGCCGCCUGCACGGCUGGACUGGAGCGGCCAGGUGCCCUGGAGGCCCCUGGGAAUUGCAGUCCUUGCGCAGGCGGAGACUGAGCCCUUAUGAGAAAACUCAAGACUCAGAAACAAUAAAGGUUACGGAGAUGAAAUUGACAGAGGCUGUAUUUCAAUAUGUCAAACUUCACUGUGCCAUUAUACUUUUAAAUCCUACAGAAUAGAUUGAAUCACAACUUCUACUUUUACAUGAAAGAAGACAAUGGGUCCUAUGACUUACUGUCAGUUUCCUUUUCCUGAUUUAAUUAGCUACUUCUGUAUCUAAUUUUGCUAGGAAUGGAGGAAUAAGACAAAUUCCCUAAACUACAUAUUGACAUUUGUACUAAUAUGAAAACCUCAAGUCCAUUUGCAGACUUUUGGAUUAGAUUCUGUCCCAGAAAGACAUCCACCCUAGAGUUCAGAUAUCAUACCCAUUUUACUGUUCCCCUGGCACAGUUCAUAGUAAGGAAAAAAAGACAAGGGGAAAGCUAUUAGAUUCUCGGUGCUGCCAAACAGGAUACACAAGGACACCAUUUUGUGAUGAUGAUAGUGCUUUAUGCAGCUUCCACCAUUUACAAGAUUUUCCUGUGGUGUGGAACCUCUGAUGAUAAAGCAAAGGAACUAGAAGCUUAUUCCAGUCAAGAUUUCUGAUUUAUCUUGUGGGUUACGAUUCUGUAUGGUUUCUUUGGUGCUGCAUUAGACCUGAGCUCUGAUUGAAAAUUCUUCCACGCUCACUACAUUCCAAAACUUUAUCUCCAAUAUGAAUUUCCAGAUGCCUCACAAGGUCUGAGCUCCAUCUGAAGGCUUUUCCAUGCUUGUCACAUUCAUAGGGCUUUUCUCCACUAUGAAUUCUAUGAUGUCAAAUAAGGUGUGAGCUCUGAUUACAAGUCUUUGAACAUUCAUUGCAUUCAUAAAGUUUCUUUCCACUGUGAAUUCUUUGAUGCUGAAUAAGUUGUGAGCUCCCCUUCAAAUCUUUCCCACACCCAAUGCAUUUAUAAGGCCUCUCACCUUAUAUGGAUUCUCUGAUGUUCUGUAAGGACUGAGUUCUGGCCAGGCGCAGUGGCUCACGCCUGUAAUCCCAGCACUUUGAGAAACCGAGGCGGGUGGAUCAGCUGAGCUCAGAAGUUCGAGACCAGCCUGGCCAGCAUGGUGAAACCCCCUCUCUACUAAAAAUACAAAAAUUAGCCGGGUGUGGUGGUGGGUGCCUGCAAUCCCAGCUAAUCGGGAGGCUAGGGCAGGAGAAUUACUUGAACCUGGGAGGUGGAGGUUGCAGUGAGCCAAGAUCGGGCCACUGCACUCCAGCCUGGCAGCAGUGUGAGACCCCGUCUUAGAAAAUAACAAACAAAAAAGACACCAGAGGGCUUUGGGUCUCUCUGCCAUGUGAGGACCCUGUGAGAAGGCAGCCAGGGAGCUCUCACCAGAACCUGACCAUGUUGGGCCCUGGUCACAGCCUUGCAGCCUCCAAAACUGUGAGAAAAUAAAUUUCUGUUGUCUGGCA